GGAUAUGAGGGCAAUCUGGCUGCGACAUCUGUCACCCCAUUGAUCGCCAGGGUUGAUUUGGCUGAUCUGGCUGGCUAGGCCGGUGUCCCCUUCCUCCCUCACCGCUCCAUGUGCUUCCCUCCCGAAGCUGCGCGCUCGGUCGAAGAGGACGACCUUCCCCAAAUAGAGGAGGACCGGUCUUCGGUCAAGGGUAUACUUGACCGAAGACCGCUCCCCUGCUAGAACCUCCAAAACAAGCUCUCAAGAAAGUUGCUCCUCUGUAAUUACUUUUGAGUCCCAAUGUAACAGAUAUGCAUACAUUUUUCCUUUUG
This 311-nucleotide small nuclear RNA is filed under the name Mus spicilegus (steppe mouse). RNAcentral's name for it is "7SK RNA (ENSMSIG00000028941.1)". It matches the Rfam family "7SK RNA". From Rfam's summary of the family: 7SK was discovered as an abundant small nuclear RNA in the mid-70s but a possible function has only recently been suggested. Two independent studies have found that 7SK RNA binds the CDK9/cyclin T complex (known as elongation factor P-TEFb). The record is from Rfam by way of RNAcentral. Lineage: Eukaryota; Metazoa; Chordata; Mammalia; Rodentia; Muridae.